UCGUUUGGCACCUCGGAUUUCUAAACAUCUUAUUAUCAUAUAACACUAGAACAUAGAACAAUUAAAUGAAACGAAAAGAAAAGAAAGAGAUGACAGAGAAUCCAUUGAGAAGUUUACCUGUAUCCAAGGUAUUUAUUCUCCAUGUUCUUGCUAUAUCGUUGAUGUAUUAUUAGCCAACCGUGUUCCUAAUAUGAUUAGUCAACCGUGUUCCUAAUAUGUCACUAAACAGAUAAUUUGUUCAUUCAAAUGUCACUUCACAG
Molecule: long non-coding RNA, 260 nt
Filed under: Solanum tuberosum (potato)
Lineage: Eukaryota; Viridiplantae; Streptophyta; Magnoliopsida; Solanales; Solanaceae
Description: long non-coding RNA (STUB_LNC000141)
Source: RNAcentral